Molecule: ribosomal RNA, 477 nt
Filed under: uncultured bacterium
Lineage: Bacteria
Description: partial 16S ribosomal RNA
Rfam family: Bacterial small subunit ribosomal RNA
Source: RNAcentral
GAUGAACGCUGGCGGCGUGCCUAACACAUGCAAGUCGAACGGAGUCCAGCCUUUAAGACCUCGGGUCAAAGAGGGGAAGACUGAGUGGCGGACGGGUGAGUAACACGUGGGCAACCUGGCUCAUAGAGGGGGAUAACAGAGAGAAAUUUCUGCUAAUACCGCAUAAGCACACACUGCCGCAUGGCAGAGGGUGAAAAGAGAAUCGCUAUGAGAUGGACCCGCGUCUGAUUAGCCAGUUGGCAGGGUAAGAGCCUACCAAAGCGACGAUCAGUAGCCGAUCUGAGAGGAUGAACGGCCACAUUGGGACUGAGACACGGCCCAAACUCCUACGGGAGGCAGCAGUGGGGGAUAUUGCACAAUGGGGGGAACCCUGAUGCAGCGACGCCGCGUGAGUGAAGAAGUAUUUCGGUAUGUAAAGCUCUAUCAGCAGGGAAGAUAAUGACAGUACCUGAAUAAGAAGCCCCGGCUAACUACGUG